AGUUUCUUGAAGUGUUUUACUUGUUGGAGCCAAUACUAGCGUGCCCGCCGUUGACUCAGUAGCAAUUGAUUUAGCUGAGGUUUCUUUUUUCCCCCAUUUUCUGAGCUAAUUUCGUGUUGCCGUAACUUUGAGUGAAAGAAAAGGGAAGCGUUUGAUGGAGCUAUGUUACAUGUAAUCUCAUCUCAUUUCGUCAUGUAAUUGGUAUGCGUUUUCGCGAGUAUUAUUGUUCCGGUGUGCAAAUGAUUCUGAGCUGGUAACUAAAUCUUCCAGAAUUUAUUUAACGGACACGUGAAGAGGCAAUGAGUUGAAAUAUUAGAGGGAAAUAUAAUUAUCUGAAUUCUGGGAAAAAAGAAGAUAAUUUUGAAAGGUAAUGAAAAACGGUACAACUAUAUAGUAUCAUCAUCUAAGGGGGUUGUACUUGUAUGUUGUAGGUGUGGCGCAAAGCCCCUCUCAUGUAAUACCUAAUUAAAUGGAAAGGAAAAAUAGAAGCUAGCCCCAAAUGUGGGGGAAACAAACAACAAUGGAACUCAUAUGCUGUGGCUUGAAAAAUAUUUGUUGCCCUUCUUGCAGGACACAAGAAUUUGCUGUAGGUUAACUAACAAGCUGGAAGAUCUGCUGGUGCUGCCUCUAGUGUUUCCAGUUCUCCAAUUCCGUUCUCUACUAGGAAAGCCGUUGCAAGUCCCCAGCCGAUGUGAACAUCCAAGUGACAGUGCAGCAGCCAUACCCCUGUUUGCAGUUCAAUUUUUAAUCUCAAAGUUACAAAUAUGUGUUAGAACAUUAGACAUUUAGAAUAUGUGAUUUGUGUCUCAAAUUGAACCUGGAUUAUCUGCUACGAAUCUGAUCACCGUCCAUCCACCUACAGGAACACUUGCUGUAUUGCGCAGAGGAGGGUCUACAAGAUUGAAUUUGCCUGUAUC
Molecule: long non-coding RNA, 917 nt
Filed under: Salvia miltiorrhiza (redroot sage)
Lineage: Eukaryota; Viridiplantae; Streptophyta; Magnoliopsida; Lamiales; Lamiaceae
Description: long non-coding RNA (SMIL_LNC008594)
Source: RNAcentral